GAAGUGACGGGCGAUUUGUAUAUAUAUAAAAAUUAAAUUCAAUUUAAUUAAUUCAUUAAAUUUACUAUUAAAUCCUAAUUUUUAAAAAAUUUAAUUUUUUAUUAUUUUAUAAUGUAAUUCAUUUAAACUUUAUUAAAUUGCAUAUUGAUCUGAAAUUUUAUUAUAAAAAAUAUUAAAAUAAAAAUAUUUAUAUUUAAUUUUUUAACGAACAUACACAAAUAAAUUAUAAAGAUAUUUCUUCUCGUGGAUUAUCGAUUAAUAAACAAAUUCCCCUAACUAAUUUUAUAUACUAUCAUAUAAUAAUUUUUCAAUAAUUUAAUCUAUAUUAAUAUAAUUUAAUUUUAUACUAGGGUAUCUAAUCCCUANUUA
This 369-nucleotide ribosomal RNA is filed under the name Spalangia nigroaenea. RNAcentral's name for it is "partial 12S ribosomal RNA". The record is from RNAcentral. Lineage: Eukaryota; Metazoa; Arthropoda; Insecta; Hymenoptera; Spalangiidae.